AACAAUGCUAAUUUUAUCUGAAAAAUACAUGUACCUCAAUAAUUUUAUCAAGGGCAUGUUUUGUGCUAGAUACUACUCUUUAUGUUAGGAAUAUAAGCAAUUGUAUAAGAUACUUACAGAUUGCAGUAAGUGGUAAAAAAUAUAACAUGAAGAGGGAAUAGUGAUGAGAAGGUAACUAUAUAGGGGAGUGGUCAGGGAGUGCUUCACUGAAGAUGUAAAAUAUGAACUGAAACCUAUAUCCUGAUUUAAAAUAGCUUUGCAGAUGUUUUAGGUAAAUAGCAGCAAGCGAACAAUACCAAAGUAGAAUGACUCCUGCCUGCUACAUUUCCCCAGAUACCCAGGACCUUCAUGCUGUCACUCUCCAUGACCUGACCAACAUCUAUUUUGAGAAAUUAUUUUAUAUACUCAUUCAAACAGGUUACUUAUUGGUUAUUUAGAAAUUCUGGAUAAAGACUCACAAGUCAAGCGGGG
This 471-nucleotide long non-coding RNA is filed under the name Homo sapiens (human). RNAcentral's name for it is "HSALNT0314020". The record is from RNAcentral. Lineage: Eukaryota; Metazoa; Chordata; Mammalia; Primates; Hominidae.